AGCGUACACGGUGGAUGCCCUGGCAGUCAGAGGCGAUGAAGGACGUGCUAAUCUGCGAUAAGCGUCGGUAAGGUGAUAUGAACCGUUAUAACCGGCGAUUUCCGAAUGGGGAAACCCAGUGUGAUUCGUCACACUAUCAUUAACUGAAUCCAUAGGUUAAUGAGGCGAACCGGGGGAACUGAAACAUCUAAGUACCCCGAGGAAAAGAAAUCAACCGAGAUUCCCCCAGUAGCGGCGAGCGAACGGGGAGCAGCCCAGAGCCUGAAUCAGUGUGUGUGUUAGUGGAAGCGUCUGGAAAGGCGCGCGAUACAGGGUGACAGCCCCGUACACAAAAAUGCACAUGCUGUGAGCUCGAUGAGUAGGGCGGGACACGUGGUAUCCUGUCUGAAUAUGGGGGGACCAUCCUCCAAGGCUAAAUACUCCUGACUGACCGAUAGUGAACCAGUACCGUGAGGGAAAGGCGAAAAGAACCCCGGCGAGGGGAGUGAAAAAGAACCUGAAACCGUGUACGUACAAGCAGUGGGAGCACGCUUAGGCGUGUGACUGCGUACCUUUUGUAUAAUGGGUCAGCGACUUAUAUUCUGUAGCAAGGUUAACCGAAUAGGGGAGCCGAAGGGAAACCGAGUCUUAACUGGGCGUUAAGUUGCAGGGUAUAGACCCGAAACCCGGUGAUCUAGCCAUGGGCAGGUUGAAGGUUGGGUAACACUAACUGGAGGACCGAACCGACUAAUGUUGAAAAAUUAGCGGAUGACUUGUGGCUGGGGGUGAAAGGCCAAUCAAACCGGGAGAUAGCUGGUUCUCCCCGAAAGCUAUUUAGGUAGCGCCUCGUGAAUUCAUCUCCGGGGGUAGAGCACUGUUUCGGCAAGGGGGUCAUCCCGACUUACCAACCCGAUGCAAACUGCGAAUACCGGAGAAUGUUAUCACGGGAGACACACGGCGGGUGCUAACGUCCGUCGUGAAGAGGGAAACAACCCAGACCGCCAGCUAAGGUCCCAAAGUCAUGGUUAAGUGGGAAACGAUGUGGGAAGGCCCAGACAGCCAGGAUGUUGGCUUAGAAGCAGCCAUCAUUUAAAGAAAGCGUAAUAGCUCACUGGUCGAGUCGGCCUGCGCGGAAGAUGUAACGGGGCUAAACCAUGCACCGAAGCUGCGGCAGCGACGCUUAUGCGUUGUUGGGUAGGGGAGCGUUCUGUAAGCCUGCGAAGGUGUGCUGUGAGGCAUGCUGGAGGUAUCAGAAGUGCGAAUGCUGACAUAAGUAACGAUAAAGCGGGUGAAAAGCCCGCUCGCCGGAAGACCAAGGGUUCCUGUCCAACGUUAAUCGGGGCAGGGUGAGUCGACCCCUAAGGCGAGGCCGAAAGGCGUAGUCGAUGGGAAACAGGUUAAUAUUCCUGUACUUGGUGUUACUGCGAAGGGGGGACGGAGAAGGCUAUGUUGGCCGGGCGACGGUUGUCCCGGUUUAAGCGUGUAGGCUGGUUUUCCAGGCAAAUCCGGAAAAUCAAGGCUGAGGCGUGAUGACGAGGCACUACGGUGCUGAAGCAACAAAUGCCCUGCUUCCAGGAAAAGCCUCUAAGCAUCAGGUAACAUCAAAUCGUACCCCAAACCGACACAGGUGGUCAGGUAGAGAAUACCAAGGCGCUUGAGAGAACUCGGGUGAAGGAACUAGGCAAAAUGGUGCCGUAACUUCGGGAGAAGGCACGCUGAUAUGUAGGUGAAGCGACUUGCUCGUGGAGCUGAAAUCAGUCGAAGAUACCAGCUGGCUGCAACUGUUUAUUAAAAACACAGCACUGUGCAAACACGAAAGUGGACGUAUACGGUGUGACGCCUGCCCGGUGCCGGAAGGUUAAUUGAUGGGGUCAGCGCAAGCGAAGCUCUUGAUCGAAGCCCCGGUAAACGGCGGCCGUAACUAUAACGGUCCUAAGGUAGCGAAAUUCCUUGUCGGGUAAGUUCCGACCUGCACGAAUGGCGUAAUGAUGGCCAGGCUGUCUCCACCCGAGACUCAGUGAAAUUGAACUCGCUGUGAAGAUGCAGUGUACCCGCGGCAAGACGGAAAGACCCCGUGAACCUUUACUAUAGCUUGACACUGAACAUUGAGCCUUGAUGUGUAGGAUAGGUGGGAGGCUUGGAAGUGUGGACGCCAGUCUGCAUGGAGCCGACCUUGAAAUACCACCCUUUAAUGUUUGAUGUUCUAACGUGGACCCGUGAUCCGGGUUGCGGACAGUGUCUGGUGGGUAGUUUGACUGGGGCGGUCUCCUCCUAAAGAGUAACGGAGGAGCACGAAGGUUGGCUAAUCCUGGUCGGACAUCAGGAGGUUAGUGCAAUGGCAUAAGCCAGCUUGACUGCGAGCGUGACGGCGCGAGCAGGUGCGAAAGCAGGUCAUAGUGAUCCGGUGGUUCUGAAUGGAAGGGCCAUCGCUCAACGGAUAAAAGGUACUCCGGGGAUAACAGGCUGAUACCGCCCAAGAGUUCAUAUCGACGGCGGUGUUUGGCACCUCGAUGUCGGCUCAUCACAUCCUGGGGCUGAAGUAGGUCCCAAGGGUAUGGCUGUUCGCCAUUUAAAGUGGUACGCGAGCUGGGUUUAGAACGUCGUGAGACAGUUCGGUCCCUAUCUGCCGUGGGCGCUGGAGAACUGAGGGGGGCUGCUCCUAGUACGAGAGGACCGGAGUGGACGCAUCACUGGUGUUCGGGUUGUCAUGCCAAUGGCACUGCCCGGUAGCUAAAUGCGGAAGAGAUAAGUGCUGAAAGCAUCUAAGCACGAAACUUGCCCCGAGAUGAGUUCU
RNAcentral lists this ribosomal RNA (2773 nucleotides) under Escherichia coli. RNAcentral's name for it is "bacterial LSU rRNA". It matches the Rfam family "Bacterial large subunit ribosomal RNA". The record is from RNAcentral. Lineage: Bacteria; Pseudomonadati; Pseudomonadota; Gammaproteobacteria; Enterobacterales; Enterobacteriaceae.